GAUGAACGCUGGCGGCGUGCCUAAUACAUGCAAGUCGAGCGAACGGACGAGAAGCUUGCUUCUCUGAUGUUAGCGGCGGACGGGUGAGUAACACGUGGAUAACCUACCUAUAAGACUGGGAUAACUUCGGGAAACCGGAGCUAAUACCGGAUAAUAUUUUGAACCGCAUGGUUCAAAAGUGAAAGACGGUCUUGCUGUCACUUAUAGAUGGAUCCGCGCUGCAUUAGCUAGUUGGUAAGGUAACGGCUUACCAAGGCAACGAUGCAUAGCCGACCUGAGAGGGUGAUCGGCCACACUGGAACUGAGACACGGUCCAGACUCCUACGGGAGGCAGCAGUAGGGAAUCUUCCGCAAUGGGCGAAAGCCUGACGGAGCAACGCCGCGUGAGUGAUGAAGGUCUUCGGAUCGUAAAACUCUGUUAUUAGGGAAGAACAUAUGUGUAAGUAACUGUGCACAUCUUGACGGUACCUAAUCAGAAAGCCACGGCUAACUACGUGCCAGCAGCCGCGGGUAUACGUAGGUGGCAAGCGUUAUCCGGAAUUAUUGGGCGUNAAGCGCGCGUAGCGGUUUUUUAAGUCUGAUGUGAAAGCCCACGGCUCAACCGUGGAGGGUCAUUGGAAACUGGAAAACUUGAGUGCAGAAGAGGAAAGUGGAAUUCCAUGUGUAGCGGUGAAAUGCGCAGAGAUAUGGAGGAACACCAGUGGCGAAGGCGACUUUCUGGUCUGUAACUGACGCUGAUGUGCGAAAGCGUGGGGAUCAAACAGGAUUAGAUACCCUGGUAGUCCACGCCGUAAACGAUGAGUGCUAAGUGUUAGGGGGUUUCCGCCCCUUAGUGCUGCAGCUAACGCAUUAAGCACUCCGCCUGGGGAGUACGACCGCAAGGUUGAAACUCAAAGGAAUUGACGGGGACCCGCACAAGCGGUGGAGCAUGUGGUUUAAUUCGAAGCAACGCGAAGAACCUUACCAAAUCUUGACAUCCUUUGACAACUCUAGAGAUAGAGCCUUCCCCUUCGGGGGACAAAGUGACAGGUGGUGCAUGGUUGUCGUCAGCUCGUGUCGUGAGAUGUUGGGUUAAGUCCCGCAACGAGCGCAACCCUUAAGCUUAGUUGCCAUCAUUAAGUUGGGCACUCUAAGUUGACUGCCGGUGACAAACCGGAGGAAGGUGGGGAUGACGUCAAAUCAUCAUGCCCCUUAUGAUUUGGGCUACACACGUGCUACAAUGGACAAUACAAAGGGCAGCGAAACCGCGAGGUCAAGCAAAUCCCAUAAAGUUGUUCUCAGUUCGGAUUGUAGUCUGCAACUCGACUACAUGAAGCUGGAAUCGCUAGUAAUCGUAGAUCAGCAUGCUACGGUGAAUACGUUCCCGGGUCU
RNAcentral lists this ribosomal RNA (1371 nucleotides) under uncultured bacterium. RNAcentral describes it as "bacterial SSU rRNA". It matches the Rfam family "Bacterial small subunit ribosomal RNA", at positions 28 to 1381 of the family's 1533-position model. The record is from RNAcentral.